RNAcentral lists this transfer RNA (66 nucleotides) under Mesocapnia arizonensis. Its description in RNAcentral is "tRNA-Leu". Lineage: Eukaryota; Metazoa; Arthropoda; Insecta; Plecoptera; Capniidae. The record is from RNAcentral.
UCUAAUAUGGCAGACAAGUGCAAUGGAUUUAAGCUCCAUAUAUAAAGGGCAACCCUUUUGUUAGAA